GUUCUUUCUGUUCUUCCUUGUGCAGGCGUCGAGCAAAGCGAUUCGCAGCAGCAGGAGUAGCACGCUCGUGUGCAACAAAGGCUUGAGCAAAGCUGGCCCAGUUCGCACGUGCCAAGCAGCCCAGCGCAGCUGCACACCCACGGCCCAGCAGCGACACAGGCCCAGGAGGAACCAGCAGGCCGACCAGCUGGUGAACCAGGCCGUGGCCCAGCACAGUUGCGGGAGCAAGCAAAGGCCCAGCUAGCAAGUGAAUCACGCAGCUGCCAGGCCAUGCUACAGCAAGCACGCAUGAAAAAAAAAAAGCUAAGCACAGUGAGCUAAAUUUGUUCCUCCCUGUUAAUUUGUGCACUAAGCUAGUUAAUUCUUGUAACGUGAUUAGGUAUUUAUUUAGCACUUUCCUUUGCUAAUCCUUGCUUGUUAGAUAAGUUUUUUUUAUUAUUAGAUUGUUGCAUGAUUAGUCAAAGUGAGGUUUGUUAGCAGCCAG
Molecule: long non-coding RNA, 484 nt
Filed under: Setaria italica (foxtail millet)
Lineage: Eukaryota; Viridiplantae; Streptophyta; Magnoliopsida; Poales; Poaceae
Description: long non-coding RNA (SITA_LNC000877)
Source: RNAcentral